This 1238-nucleotide long non-coding RNA is filed under the name Olea europaea (common olive). RNAcentral's name for it is "long non-coding RNA (OEUR_LNC012849)". The record is from RNAcentral. Lineage: Eukaryota; Viridiplantae; Streptophyta; Magnoliopsida; Lamiales; Oleaceae.
GGAUGACUGUUGGGGCCUAUUUCUAGGUGCUGAUGGUCCAAUUUUGUCGAAGACACUAGUGGACCUCUAAGGUCAGUGCUCCUGAGCAUAUUUUAGGGCAAAAUUUUUCGCCUCUUAUGGUAAAUCGUCAACGGGCCUGUUGAAAAUGUAAUUUGUUGACAUGCCCACCUUCAUUUCCCUUUUAACAGGGCUACAUUCCUUUCUUUGCCUUUGGGAGUAUGCUGGUGUUGGGGUUGAUUGAUAUUGACAUUUGUCCAGAUAAUUUCUUCUUCAGAAGCCUCCUCUUGUCGAUUUCUACCAUGAGAAGCGUAGUGGCUAGAACUCAUGAUAACUUCUAACGAUACCUUUCCAGUGUCCUCAAUUGUUCUUUCUUCAAGAACAAGGACCUUUCUUCAAGGUUGGUGAAAAGUAUAUUUUAUAGAUUUAUUUGGACAAAAAAUAUAGACAUUUAAUAAUUUUUAAAGUAAUUAUAUCCUAAUUUAUUGUAUAUUUUAUUUUUAGUUAAAACUUGAUGAUUGGAAGUGAAUUGAAAGAAAUAAGUGAAAAAUGACAAUGUACAAAGUCUAAGAACCAAAUUGGAAAUUACCAAUGGUUGAUUUGAACUAUAAGACAAUACUUUGAAGAUUGCUAGGAGUUAAUUGGAUACAAUUAAAAACAAAAAUGGAUGGAAUAUGGUCAAAAUAUUAUCAUGAAUCAACUUCUAAUUGCACAAGUUAUAUUCUAGAUUUUUAACCAAAGAUUGAGACCCAUUUUUGACAUAAUAAAUGUCAGAACUAGAAAAAUUCUACAAGAGCAAAGUUGUAGCACUAUUAGUUAGCUUUUCAGUGCAUAUUGAAUAGCCUCAAUCGGAUAUUGGGAGAGAAAAUUAGGACCAAAAUACUGACUGUUGUCAGAGACAAAACAUGCGUGCAUAAAGAUAACUUUCCUUAUUCGAUUGGAACUCUUUUGGAAAUCAAUUUGGACGUAAAUGUCCAAAAAAAAUCUCUAACAGUAGAAUGCAUUAAAGGACCACUCAUACACCUCUCAUAUACAUAUUAUACUCCAUUAUUCAUCAAUUAUUAUCAUCAAAUGAGACAAAAUUCAUAGUUUUCAUGAGAUAAUUGAAUGGAAUUUACAAGAAUUCAAUCAAGUGAAAAUUAAAGAUUGAUUUUUGGGCAAAGAAGAGAAGCACAAGUGGAGAUUCAUUAAGAAAUCAUUGACGAGAUUCAAGAUUUCAAGAUUCAUCAUCUUCUCGAUUU